This 728-nucleotide ribosomal RNA is filed under the name uncultured bacterium. RNAcentral's name for it is "bacterial SSU rRNA". It matches the Rfam family "Bacterial small subunit ribosomal RNA", at positions 61 to 802 of the family's 1533-position model. The record is from RNAcentral.
GGCGACGAGAUUUCGGUCAAAUCAAGUGUAUCUUCUUUGGCGGACGGGUGAGUAACGCGUGGGUAACCUGCCAUAUACAGGGGGAUAACACUUAGAAAUAGGUGCUAAUACCGCAUAAGCGCACAUGGCCGCAUGGCCAGGUGUGAAAAACUCCGGUGGUAUAUGAUGGACCCGCGUCUGAUUAGCUAGUUGGUGAGGUAACGGCCCACCAAGGCGACGAUCAGUAGCCGGCCUGAGAGGGUGGACGGCCACAUUGGGACUGAGACACGGCCCAAACUCCUACGGGAGGCAGCAGUGGGGGAUAUUGGACAAUGGGGGGAACCCUGAUCCAGCGACGCCGCGUGAGUGAAGAAGUAUCUCGGUAUGUAAAGCUCUAUCAGCAGGGAAGAAAGAAAUGACGGUACCUGAGUAAGAAGCCCCGGCUAACUACGUGCCAGCAGCCGCGGUAAUACGUAGGGGGCAAGCGUUAUCCGGAAUUACUGGGUGUAAAGGGAGCGUAGACGGUGAUGUAAGUCUGGAGUGAAAGGCGGGGGCCCAACCCCCGGACUGCUCUGGAAACUAUAUGACUGGAGUGCAGGAGAGGUGAGCGGAAUUCCUAGUGUAGCGGUGAAAUGCGUAGAUAUUAGGAGGAACACCAGUGGCGAAGGCGGCUCACUGGACUGUAACUGACGUUGAGGCUCGAAAGCGUGGGGAGCAAACAGGAUUAGAUACCCUGGUAGUCCACGCCG